Eptesicus fuscus (big brown bat) is the source of this 459-nucleotide long non-coding RNA. RefSeq lists it as uncharacterized. NCBI's taxonomy places the organism in Eukaryota, Metazoa, Chordata, Mammalia, Chiroptera, Vespertilionidae. The record is from RefSeq and is a predicted model, not a curated record. The transcript has 3 exons.
AUUGCUACAAUGCUGUCAGAACACUCAGCAACUGUCACUGCUGUGGAAAAACUGCCACCGGAUCACUGAGCUGUGCUGUCCCCCUCCCAGGAGAAUACUGAAGGGAGAGAAGAGAGUGAAGUCAGGGCAUUUAGUUUCCUGCAUCACUGUUUGCAAAGGCCAACUCUUUGCAACUAUCAAGGAUGCAGUAUUGGUCUGCUAUUGCUGUGUAACAACCAAAACUCUCAGUGGCAUACAACAAGGCAAAACUGGCGGGACCUGACAAUUAACCUGAUGUAAGACAGAUCAACAGAAGAAAAGGACACACAUUUACAGUAUGUAUGUUUCACAUGACACAGAGCCCUCAGAAAAAGGAAGACUCCCAAAAGGGCAGAACCUACAGGCUUUUACAGUAGGUUGAACAAAGAGAGGCAAUUGUGGAAAAGUAACUAAACUGUAUGGGGAGGCUAGGAGAAGAUA